UGCAGGAGUAAGGUGGUAUUGUUUUGUG
RNAcentral lists this non-coding RNA (28 nucleotides) under Homo sapiens (human). The record is from RNAcentral. Lineage: Eukaryota; Metazoa; Chordata; Mammalia; Primates; Hominidae.